AUUUAACUGUCAGCAUCUGGACUGAAAUACAUCCUUUUGGCCACCAGAUGCCACCCUUAUAGACUUUUGGUUUCCUUUUUUUUCUGUCUUUGAGAGUGUCUUGGUAAUAUGUUCCAUCUGUGUCUUAAUUGUGCUGUGUAUUUAAGUUGCCGUUUUGUAGCUGUCUUUGUCCUGUCUACCUUGAGUAAGUGCUACCUUGUGCUCUCUUUUGUUGGACUGUUGCUGUGCUUGAAAACUCUCUUGUGUUUAGUUUAAUUUUCUUUGAGUUUCUUGUAUUUUGAAACUUGUUUACAAGUUUUUUGGAUUGUGUUCUUUGGAACCUAAAGACUGUUGUGCCUGAGUACUUUCUUGUGUAUAUUUUUUGGAAUCCAUUUUUUUGUUCUCUGCUUUUGGGUUCAUCAGUUUUGAGUCUAGCCCAGUGGUAGAGCUCUAGACUCUGACCACAAGGAGUAGGGUUCAAAUCCUGACCAGGUCCUGAUAUUAACAAUUUCAUGAUCAUUCUGGCUGCGUUAGCCCUGGAGACUGAAUGGAGCUAAUACUUUCUCAUAUCUCGUGUUUGCGUUCAUAGUACCCCCACCAAAAGAGGAUCCAGAAGAUCUCACAACAAAGCUGGCCAGUGAAGAGAAAAACAUCUCGCUUAGGACCAGUGCAGAUGCCUGUGAUCGCAAAGGAAAGAGUGAGGAUUUUAUGUAAUGUAGGAAAAUGUCAUCCCAUGGUUUCUGAGAUGACUGUACUGUAUGUGUAUCCAGAACACUGAUCUCUGACUACAUGGCUUACCUUUAGACUGCAUACAUGUGCUUCAUUUCAUUUCAUGAGCUUUUUUUUUUUACUGCUUACUACAUAGCUGUGGAAUUAUAAGGCAUUCAAGCCUUGAUAUGUUAGCCUUUAUUCUUCAAAUGUUCAGUUUGAUUUCAUCCUAAUUAUUUUUUGCUUUCAUUUUUGCCAUAUGUGUUAUAUUCUGUCAUAAUGACUGGAGAAAUUUAAUUAAAAUUCUAACCUGCAAGUAA
Long non-coding RNA from Anguilla anguilla (European eel), 1007 nucleotides. RefSeq lists it as uncharacterized. The record is from RefSeq and is a predicted model, not a curated record. The transcript has 2 exons. Lineage: Eukaryota; Metazoa; Chordata; Actinopteri; Anguilliformes; Anguillidae.